This 303-nucleotide ribosomal RNA is filed under the name uncultured bacterium. RNAcentral describes it as "partial 16S ribosomal RNA". It matches the Rfam family "Bacterial small subunit ribosomal RNA", at positions 507 to 807 of the family's 1533-position model. The record is from RNAcentral.
AGCAGCAGCCGCGGUAAUACGUAGGGUGCAAGCGUUAAUCGGAAUUACUGGGCGUAAAGCGUGCGUAGGUGGUGGUUUAAGUCCGUUGUGAAAGCCCUGGGCUCAACCUGGGAAUUGCAGUGGAUACUGGGUCACUAGAGUGUGGUAGAGGAUAGUGGAAUUUCCGGUGUAGCAGUGAAAUGCGUAGAGAUCGGAAGGAACAUCUGUGGCGAAGGCGACUAUCUGGGCCAACACUGACACUGAGGCACGAAAGCGUGGGGAGCAAACAGGAUUAGAUACCCGCGUAGUCCCUGUCUCUUAUAC